This 75-nucleotide transfer RNA is filed under the name Patescibacteria group bacterium. RNAcentral describes it as "tRNA-Glu". It matches the Rfam family "tRNA". Rfam says of the family: Transfer RNA (tRNA) molecules are approximately 80 nucleotides in length. Their secondary structure includes four short double-helical elements and three loops (D, anti-codon, and T loops). The record is from RNAcentral.
GCCGCUAUCGUCUAGUCCGGUCUAGGACGCCUGGUUCUCAUCCAGGUAACCCGGGUUCGAAUCCCGGUAGCGGCA